Cyprinus carpio (common carp) is the source of this 1200-nucleotide long non-coding RNA. Lineage: Eukaryota; Metazoa; Chordata; Actinopteri; Cypriniformes; Cyprinidae. The record is from Ensembl.
AUGAUGAAUAAAGUUAAAUACGCUGUGUUUCCAGCAAACUGGCAACCCAGGUGCUGAAAUACAAUUGAGUAAACUACCAGUAAGCAGGUUUCACAAACCAAAACAAAGAUUGAAAUUCCGGCCCGGAAUGCACAUUUUUUAAGGAGAAUUGUAGCAUUGUUUUUCAGAUAAACAAGUAUAUUAACUUAGCAUGUUUCUUAAAUAUCUGCAAACAUAUUAUGGUAUUUUUAUGCUUUCGUAGAGUCAAAAUGUUACAUACAGCACCUUUAAAUUAACCAAUAUUUCUUUGUAACGUUAGUCUUAAAAAUCGGAAGACAAAUAGCAUUUAAAGCAAUGGAUUUCCUGUUGAACUUUCGGUGGUGGGUUAUAAGGUCUGUGGUUUCGUUCUACAACUUAAAAGGCGCACAGUCAUACCUAAAACAGAUGUGCUGUGUUUUCUAAAGAAGGCCUACAACCAAACACGUAAAUUUAGAUAGGUGUGGUAGAUGUAGUCUUUAUUUAGUUGGCCUACAAAUUGACAUCACGGCAGUGUCACGUGACACAGAUUUCAUUCGCACGCGUGGUGGUUCCUCCAGCAGCAGCGUUCGUCAACUAGAGCUGUGGCCGAACGGAGGUGAACAUGGCCAAUGUGUCGGAGAGGACGUUACAGGUCGCUUUAGUUGUUUCGUUUGCGGCUGGUUUUAUCGCCGGCUGGCAGGCAAACAGAAUGCGAAGAAGGUUCUUGGACUGGCGAAAAAAGAGGUUACAAGACAAGCUCGCAGAAACACAGAAGAAGCUAGACCUGUCAUGACACAUACAAAAUAUCAUGAAGCCGACCUGUGCCUCGGUCAUCGGUCAAUACUUUAGUAUUCCUGACUUCACAAACAGAAUGAGGAGUCUAUCAGCACCUCUCCAGCUCUCAACAGGAUCAGGCGUUCAACCUUGGAUCAAAGACACGAUCUACAGGCUGGAAUGGAUGCUUUGGUGCAGCAGGCUGAUAAACCAGAUGCGUCAAGACAGGACAGAGACCUUGGAGAGAAAGGAGAGGUUUUAAAAGUUCUCUAUAAAAAUAAGGAUGGAUGGUGGCUGGCUAAAAACUCAAAAGGCCAGAAGGGCCUGGUACCCAAAACCUUCCUGAAGAUGGCUUCUCUGCAUGAUAGUGAGAGAGAGAGAAUGAGGAUGUGGGGGAGAAUGAAGAAGAAGAGAAGGAGUCUGACAUAA